Molecule: transfer RNA, 71 nt
Organism: Ovis aries (sheep)
Lineage: Eukaryota; Metazoa; Chordata; Mammalia; Artiodactyla; Bovidae
Rfam family: tRNA
About the family: Transfer RNA (tRNA) molecules are approximately 80 nucleotides in length. Their secondary structure includes four short double-helical elements and three loops (D, anti-codon, and T loops).
Source: Rfam
UCCUUGAUGGUCUAGUGGUAGGACUCAGUGCUCUCACCACUGCAGCCCAGGUUGGAUUCCUGGUCAGGGAA